This 505-nucleotide ribosomal RNA is filed under the name uncultured bacterium. Its description in RNAcentral is "partial 16S ribosomal RNA". It matches the Rfam family "Bacterial small subunit ribosomal RNA", at positions 28 to 507 of the family's 1533-position model. The record is from RNAcentral.
GACGAACGCUGGCGGCGUGCCUAAUACAUGCAAGUCGAACGCACAGUCUCUACCGUAGCUUGCUACACCAUAGACGGUGAGUUGCGAACGGGUGAGUAAAGCGUAGGUAACCUGCCUGGUAGCGGGAGAUAACUGUUGGUAACGCUAGCUAAUACCGCAUAAUAUUGGUUGUUGCAUGAUAAUUGAUUGAAAGAUGCUAUUGCCUCACUACCAGUUAGACCUUCGGUGGAUUAGCUAGUAGGUGAGGUAACGGCUCACCUAGGCGCCGAUACAUAGCCGACCGGAUAGGGUGAUCGGCCACACUGGGACUGAGACACGGCCCAGACGCCUACGGGAGGCAGCAGGAGGGAAUCUUCGGCAAUGGGCGGAAGUCUGACCGAGCUACGCCGCGGGAGUGAAGAAGGUCUUCGGGUCGUAAAGCUCGGUUGUAAGGGAAGAACGGGUGUGAGAGUGGAAAGUUCACAGUGUGACGGUAUCGUACCAGAAAGGGACGGCUAACUACGUG